GUCGGAGACGGAUGAUCGUCUUCCCCGGACGAGAUGCGCCGUACCCGGUCCGCAAAGACGACGCUCG
Molecule: non-coding RNA, 67 nt
Filed under: Couchioplanes caeruleus subsp. caeruleus
Lineage: Bacteria; Bacillati; Actinomycetota; Actinomycetes; Micromonosporales; Micromonosporaceae
Also listed under: 1 other name
Source: RNAcentral